AUUGAACGCUGGCGGUAGGCUUAACACAUGCAAGUCGUGCGAGAAAGUACCUUCGGGUGCGAGUAGAGCGGCGGACGGGUGAGUAACGCGUAGGAAUCUACCUAGUAGAAGGGGAUAGCCCGAGGAAACUCGGAUUAAUACCGUAUACCUCCUUAGGGAGAAAGAGGGCUUAGCUUUGAUGCUCUCGCUAUUAGAUGAGCCUGCGUAAGAUUAGCUUGUUGGUGAGGUAAUGGCUCACCAAGGCGACGAUCUUUAGCUGGUCUGAGAGGACGAUCAGCCACAUUGGGACUGAGACACGGCCCAGACUCCUACGGGAGGCAGCAGUGGGGAAUAUUGGACAAUGGGCGCAAGCCUGAUCCAGCCAUACCGCGUGUGUGAAGAAGGCUUUCGGGUUGUAAAGCACUUUAAGUAAGGAGAAAAAGAUUGUAGUUAAUACCUGCAAUCCGUGA
RNAcentral lists this ribosomal RNA (449 nucleotides) under uncultured SAR86 cluster bacterium. Its description in RNAcentral is "bacterial SSU rRNA". It matches the Rfam family "Bacterial small subunit ribosomal RNA", at positions 30 to 472 of the family's 1533-position model. Lineage: Bacteria; Pseudomonadati; Pseudomonadota; Gammaproteobacteria. The record is from RNAcentral.